GCUAGGAUGAACGCUAGCGACAGGCUUAACACAUGCAAGUCAGGGGCAGCACGGGAGUAGCAAUACUUGGUGGCGACCGGCGCACGGGUGGGUAACGCGUAUGCAACCUACCUAUCAGAGGGGAAUAACCCGGCGAAAGUCGGACUAAUACCGCAUAAAACAGGGGCACCGCAUGGUGAUAUUUGUUAAAGAAAUUCGCUGAUAGAUGGGCAUGCGUUCCAUUAGGUAGUUGGUGAGGUAACGGCUCACCAAGCCGACGAUGGAUAGGGGAACUGAGAGGUUGGUCCCCCACACUGGUACUGAGACACGGACCAGACUCCUACGGGAGGCAGCAGUGAGGAAUAUUGGUCAAGUGGGCGGGAGCCUGAACCAGCCAAGUCGCGUGAAGGAAAGAAGGAUCUAUGGUUCGUAAACUUCUUUUGCAGGGGAAUAAAGUGCAGGACGUGUCCUGUUUUGUAUGUACCCUGAGAAUAAGGAUCGGCUAACUCCGUGCCAGCAGCAGC
RNAcentral lists this ribosomal RNA (503 nucleotides) under uncultured bacterium. RNAcentral describes it as "bacterial SSU rRNA". It matches the Rfam family "Bacterial small subunit ribosomal RNA", at positions 26 to 518 of the family's 1533-position model. The record is from RNAcentral.